This 2889-nucleotide ribosomal RNA is filed under the name Aeromonas veronii. Its description in RNAcentral is "23S ribosomal RNA". It matches the Rfam family "Bacterial large subunit ribosomal RNA". The record is from RNAcentral. Lineage: Bacteria; Pseudomonadati; Pseudomonadota; Gammaproteobacteria; Aeromonadales; Aeromonadaceae.
GGUUAAGUGACUAAGCGUACAUGGUGGAUGCCUUGGCAGUCAGAGGCGAUGAAGGACGUACUAACCUGCGAUAAGCUGUGAGAAGUCGGUAAGAGACGCUAUUACUCACAGAUUUCCGAAUGGGGAAACCCACCCAAGAUAACUUGGGUAUCGUUACAUGAAUACAUAGUGUAACGAGGCGAACCGGGAGAACUGAAACAUCUAAGUACCCCGAGGAAAAGAAAUCAACCGAGAUUCCCUCAGUAGCGGCGAGCGAACGGGGAUUAGCCCUUAAGCAUCUUGGAAGUUAGUGGAACGGUCCUGGAAAGGCCGGCGAUACAGGGUGAUAGCCCCGUACACGAAAACAACCUUGAUGUGAAAUCGAGUAGGGCGGGACACGUGACAUCCUGUCUGAAUAUGGGGGGACCAUCCUCCAAGGCUAAAUACUCCUGACUGACCGAUAGUGAACCAGUACCGUGAGGGAAAGGCGAAAAGAACCCCUGUGAGGGGAGUGAAAUAGAACCUGAAACCGUGUACGUACAAGCAGUGGGAGCCCUUCGGGGUGACUGCGUACCUUUUGUAUAAUGGGUCAGCGACUUACAUUUUGUAGCGAGGUUAACCGUAUAGGGGAGCCGUAGGGAAACCGAGUCUUAACUGGGCGUCUAGUUGCAAGGUGUAGACCCGAAACCGGGUGAUCUAGCCAUGGGCAGGUUGAAGGUUGAGUAACAUCAACUGGAGGACCGAACCCACUAACGUUGCAAAGUUAGGGGAUGACCUGUGGCUGGGGGUGAAAGGCCAAUCAAACUCGGAGAUAGCUGGUUCUCCCCGAAAGCUAUUUAGGUAGCGCCUCGGACGAAUACUACUGGGGGUAGAGCACUGUUUGGGCUAGGGGGUCAUCCGACUUACCAACCCCAUGCAAACUCCGAAUACCAGUAAGUAAUAUCCGGGAGACACACGGCGGGUGCUAACGUCCGUCGUGAAGAGGGAAACAACCCAGACCGCCGGCUAAGGUCCCAAAGUUCUGGUUAAGUGGGAAACGAUGUGGGAAGGCUCAGACAGCUAGGAUGUUGGCUUAGAAGCAGCCAUCAUUUAAAGAAAGCGUAAUAGCUCACUAGUCGAGUCGGCCUGCGCGGAAGAUGUAACGGGGCUCAAACCAGGCACCGAAGCCGCGGAUUCACACUUAUGUGUGAGUGGUAGGGGAGCGUUCUGUAAGUCUGCGAAGGUGUAUCGAGAGGUAUGCUGGAGAUAUCAGAAGUGCGAAUGCUGACGUAAGUAACGAUAAAGGGGGUGAAAAGCCUCCUCGCCGGAAGACCAAGGGUUCCUGUCCAACGUUAAUCGGGGCAGGGUGAGUCGACCCCUAAGGCGAGGCCGAAAGGCGUAGUCGAUGGGAAGCAGGUUAAUAUUCCUGCACGACUUGUAAUUGCGAUGGGGGGACGGAGAAGGCUAGGUGGGCCAGGCGACGGUUGUCCUGGUGAAAGUGCGUAGGUGGUGUUUCUAGGCAAAUCCGGAGACACAACACUGAGACACGAGACGAACACACUACGGUGUGGAAGCCAUUGAUGCCCUGCUUCCAGGAAAAGCCUCUAAGCUUCAGAUUACAAGUCAUCGUACCCCAAACCGACACAGGUGGUCGGGUAGAGAAUACCAAGGCGCUUGAGAGAACUCGGGUGAAGGAACUAGGCAAAAUAGAACCGUAACUUCGGGAGAAGGUUCGCUCUUGAUGGUGAAGUCCCUUGCGGAUGGAGCUGUCGGGAGUCGCAGUGACCAGAUGGCUGGGACUGUUUAUCAAAAACACAGCACUCUGCAAACACGAAAGUGGACGUAUAGGGUGUGACACCUGCCCGGUGCCGGAAGGUUAAUUGAUGGGGUUAGCGCAAGCGAAGCUCUUGAUCGAAGCCCCGGUAAACGGCGGCCGUAACUAUAACGGUCCUAAGGUAGCGAAAUUCCUUGUCGGGUAAGUUCCGACCUGCACGAAUGGUGUAACCAUGGCCAUGCUGUCUCCACCCGAGACUCAGUGAAAUCGAAUUCGCCGUGAAGAUGCGGUGUACCCGCGGCUAGACGGAAAGACCCCGUGAACCUUUACUACAGCUUGGCACUGAACAUUGAACCUACAUGUGUAGGAUAGGUGGGAGGCUUUGAAGGCGUGACGCCAGUUGCGCUGGAGCCGUCCUUGAAAUACCACCCUUGUAUGUUUGAUGUUCUAACGCAGGGCCCUGAAUCGGGCUCGCGGACAGUGCCUGGUGGGUAGUUUGACUGGGGCGGUCUCCUCCCAAAGAGUAACGGAGGAGCACGAAGGUUGGCUAAUCCUGGUCGGACAUCAGGAGGUUAGUGCAAUGGCAUAAGCCAGCUUAACUGCGAGACGGACAGGUCGAGCAGGUACGAAAGUAGGUCAUAGUGAUCCGGUGGUUCUGAAUGGAAGGGCCAUCGCUCAACGGAUAAAAGGUACUCCGGGGAUAACAGGCUGAUACCGCCCAAGAGUUCAUAUCGACGGCGGUGUUUGGCACCUCGAUGUCGGCUCAUCACAUCCUGGGGCUGAAGUCGGUCCCAAGGGUAUGGCUGUUCGCCAUUUAAAGUGGUACGCGAGCUGGGUUCAGAACGUCGUGAGACAGUUCGGUCCCUAUCUGCCGUGGGCGUUGGAUGAUUGAAGGGAGUUGCUCCUAGUACGAGAGGACCGGAGUGAACGAACCUCUGGUGUUCGGGUUGUCACGCCAGUGGCACUGCCCGGUAGCUAAGUUCGGAAUCGAUAACCGCUGAAAGCAUCUAAGCGGGAAGCGAGCCCUGAGAUGAGUCAUCCCUGACCCCUUGAGGGUCCUAAAGGGCCGUUGGAGACCACAACGUUGAUAGGUGGGGUGUGUAAGCGCGGUGACGUGUUGAGCUAACCCAUACUAAUUACCCGUGAGGCUUAACCAU